UAAAGCAAUGACCACUAGCGAGGUAUAGAGUUCCUACGUUCAAAUUAUUAAUGUUACUCGUAGGAACUUCAUACCGUGCUCUUGGACUUGCGACA
Molecule: microRNA precursor, 95 nt
Filed under: Acyrthosiphon pisum (pea aphid)
Lineage: Eukaryota; Metazoa; Arthropoda; Insecta; Hemiptera; Aphididae
Description: mir-276 microRNA precursor family
Rfam family: mir-276 microRNA precursor family
Source: Rfam by way of RNAcentral